This 506-nucleotide ribosomal RNA is filed under the name uncultured bacterium. RNAcentral describes it as "partial 16S ribosomal RNA". It matches the Rfam family "Bacterial small subunit ribosomal RNA", at positions 29 to 523 of the family's 1533-position model. The record is from RNAcentral.
AGUGAACGCUGGCGGCAGGCCUAACACAUGCAAGUCGAACGGCAGCACAGGAGAGCUUGCUCUCUGGGUGGCGAGUGGCGGACGGGUGAGGAUAGCGUCGGAAUCUGCCUAUUUGUGGGGGAUAACCUCGGGAAACCGGGACUAAUACCGCAUACGACCUACGGGUGAAAGCGGAGGACCUUCGGGCUUCGCGCAGAUAGAUGAGCCGACGUCGGAUUAGCUAGUUGGCGGGGUAAUGGCCCACCAAGGCGACGAUCCGUAGCUGGUCUGAGAGGAUGAUCAGCCACACUGGAACUGAGACACGGUCCAGACUCCUACGGGAGGCAGCAGUGGGGAAUAUUGGACAAUGGGCGCAAGCCUGAUCCAGCCAUGCCGCGUGGGUGAAGAAGGCCUUCGGGUUGUAAAGCCCUUUUGUUGGGAAAGAAAAGCAGCCGGUUAAUACCCGGUUGUCAUGACGGUACCCAAAGAAUAAGCACCGGCUAACUUCGUGCCAGCCGCCGCAGUAA